RNAcentral lists this transfer RNA (72 nucleotides) under Acidobacteria bacterium 13_1_20CM_3_53_8. RNAcentral describes it as "tRNA-Val". It matches the Rfam family "tRNA". From Rfam's summary of the family: Transfer RNA (tRNA) molecules are approximately 80 nucleotides in length. Their secondary structure includes four short double-helical elements and three loops (D, anti-codon, and T loops). Further hydrogen bonds mediate the characteristic L-shaped molecular structure. tRNAs have two regions of fundamental functional importance: the anti-codon, which is responsible for specific mRNA codon recognition, and the 3' end, to which the tRNAs corresponding amino acid is attached (by aminoacyl-tRNA synthetases). tRNAs cope with the degeneracy of the genetic code in two manners: having more than one tRNA (with a specific anti-codon) for a particular amino acid; and 'wobble' base-pairing, i.e. permitting non-standard base-pairing at the 3rd anti-codon position. The record is from RNAcentral. RNAcentral also lists the same sequence under 5 other names. Lineage: Bacteria; Pseudomonadati; Acidobacteriota.
AGGCGCGUAGCUCAGGGGUAGAGCACUACCUUGACACGGUAGGGGUCCGCGGUUCAAAUCCGCGCGCGCCUA